GACGAACGCUGGCGGCGUGCUUAACACAUGCAAGUCGAACGAUGAAGCCGGAGCUUGCUCUGGUGAAUUAGUGGCGAACGGGUGAGUAACACGUGGGUAACCUGCCCUUGACUCUGGGAUAACUGCGGGAAACUGUAGCUAAUACCGGAUACGACCAUCGGAGGCAUCUCCUGGGGGUGGAAAGAAUUUCGGUCAAGGAUGGACUCGCGGCCUAUCAGCUAGUUGGUGAGGUAAAGGCUCACCAAGGCGACGACGGGUAGCCGGCCUGGGAGGGUGACCGGCCACACUGGGACUGGGACACGGCGCAGACUCGUACGGGAGGCAGCAGUGGGGAAUAUUGCACAAUGGGCGCAAGCCUGAUGCAGCAACGCCGCGUGAGGGAUGACGGCCUUCGGGUUGUAAACCUCUUUUAGCAGGGAAGAAGCGAAAGUGACGGUACCUGCAGAAAAAGCACCGGCUAACUACGUGCCAGCAGCCGCAGUAA
Molecule: ribosomal RNA, 484 nt
Filed under: uncultured bacterium
Lineage: Bacteria
Description: partial 16S ribosomal RNA
Rfam family: Bacterial small subunit ribosomal RNA
Source: RNAcentral